This is a long non-coding RNA of Homo sapiens (human), 246 nucleotides long. RefSeq lists it as uncharacterized. The transcript is spliced from 3 exons. The record is from RefSeq and is a predicted model, not a curated record. Lineage: Eukaryota; Metazoa; Chordata; Mammalia; Primates; Hominidae.
UUCCUCUGCAUAUUGUUCUAUUCAGACCCUCAAUAGGUUAAAUGAUGCCCACUCUCAUUAAAGAGGACCAUCUACUUUACGGAACUGCUAAGUUUGACAUACAAAGAACCAAUGGGAUACAUUGCUGAUGAAGGAGAAGGAGGUCUAAUCACUUUGGAAAACAAUUUGAAAUUCAACUGUGCAGAGAAAAUGACUGGUUCAGGCCACUCACAGUGGGUCACUCUUGGAAUCCCUUGCUGAGUUGGG